AAAGCCAAUCAGGCGGGUCUGCAAAACCAUUGGUGCAUUCCUGAGGUCCGAGGACCGUAGAAUGCAGAGCGCCCGGCCGGUGUGGCCUUCGAUUGGCUAGUACUCCCGUCAGUCAUUUCAGUUUAUGCUUCUGUCAUUGCCACGUCACCCCCGCCCAUCGCUCUGCCCUUCAUCCUUUUCCGCCCUUACGGAUUGGUGGUCGGUAUCAGCUGCUCAAGCCUUUCUACCAAUUACUGAACGCGCCGAGCUAGAGAUGGAGACAACCUAGAUGCCUACAACUGGACAAAUGGAUAAUGGAAAUGCAGUACAUAUGUGCAGCGGAAUACUAUUCAUCUCUAAAGAAAGAUGAAAUCAUGACUUUUGCAGGCUGUCCAAGAGACCCAAAAAUAUUACAAACUAUUUCUAUUGCCACUGGUUAUCUCCUGGAGGGGGAAAGUAAGUAGAUGGAGACCACUACAGGAAACUACAAUGGAAGUAAAGAGUUGUGGAGCCCCAUACCAAUGAAUGCAACUACAAAACACUCCCACACUUGAGGCUCGGGGAAAUUGUGGAAGAGGGGACAGAGAGAAUGUAAAAGCUAACAGAGUUUGCUGUGGAAUUGUUUAUUAUACCCAUAAAGUCUCACCAACACGACUGCCCAAAUGUGAGCUGAACAAGGAUGAUACCAAUGAACAUGGCAAAGUAGAUGCAGAAAACCCCACAAGGAAUCAACCCUACACAAGAACUAUAGGCAACUGAGGAAAGCUGGGAGUGAAAGAGGUGGUCCUCUCCAGGGAAGAGCACACCAAUUGAUUUUUUCCAGUGCUAAAUGGUCAUCCCUGAAAGCAUAUAUACAAGUAACAUUUUAUGGAGAAAUACAAUAGGUUGUAUUAGAAAUAUAUACAUAUAUGAAAAUAUACAUAUGGAUGUAAUAACAGUGAAAAUAGGAUUUUAAGGAGUAUGGGUAGGGGUAUAUGGGAGGGCUUGGAGGGAGGAAAGGGAAAGAAGAGAUCUUGUUAUUAAAUUGUAAUCUCAGAAAUAAACAACAAAAAUUAUUCCCUUGGGACCCAGUGGUUAAGAGUUUUUGCUGCUCUUCCCGAGAACCCACAUUCAGUUCCAGCACCCACUUAGUCAGCUCACAACCACCCAUAACUCCAGCUCCAGGGGUUCUAAUGCCCUGUUUUUGUCUCCAGGGGCGCCAACACUUAGGUAGACACAUGUGCACAUUUAUAUGCACACACAUACACACAGUAAAUCUUAAUAAAGCAAUUUCCUCAAUGAUUUUACCUUUUUGU
Molecule: long non-coding RNA, 1274 nt
Organism: Meriones unguiculatus (Mongolian gerbil)
Lineage: Eukaryota; Metazoa; Chordata; Mammalia; Rodentia; Muridae
Exons: 4
Source: RefSeq, a predicted model, not a curated record